GCAGGAGUCAAGAGCCUCGGUUGCAGCUCCCGCUGUGCCGCCCACGACCGGCUCUGGGGUCAGAUGAUCUGCUGGUUCAAAUCCUGACUCAGCCUCCUACUAGCCAGGCCAGUCUCUAGACCCCUCCCAGCCUCCAUGUCCUCACCUGAGAAAACAGGGUCACAAUACCUGCCUUGCCAACGUGGUGAGGACCAGCGGAGAAGAUGAAAGGGCUUAUAUUCCAAAGCCCACAAGGUUGAAGAUGCACACCCGUGACACAGCCUCAGGAUGUCCUGACGACAUGUGCCAAGGUGGUCAUACGUUUUAGGGAGACAUGAGACAUCAAUCAACACAUGUAAGAUGAACAUUGGUUCAGUCUGGAAAAGGCCGGGCAACGCCAAGCAAACGUGGGACAACUCGCAGCCAGGAGAAAGCUUCCAGGUCACAGUAUUUUUGACUUACCACGUGUUUAUUGGGACGUAACCCCUUCCUAAGAUGAAGAGCAUCUGUAUACAUCCAGAAUCCUGUGGAGCAACUCAUAACCCAUGAGGAAUGGAAGCCGACAGACAGACUCAUCCCCAGGACAGAUGGUUCUCACUACAUCUCAUAAAGCUUCUUAGAAGAUCUUACAGGAUUGAGCAACCAGCCAGCCACAGCAGGGGCCAACUGGAUAACACGUCUUUGCACAGGCUCUCCCUCUGUCCCUGUCACCCUCCCCUUUUCCUAACCUUGUUCCUUGGGAUUAUGUUUUGAAAUAAAUUAUUCAGAGAAAUGAAGCCAAAGCUGACCCAUUAGCCAAUAGCUAGGUUCUGUGAUGACAGAGCUUCUGGGCUAUAAUCGUUUACUGAGAAGCCAGCGUUCCUGAGGGGAUAAUGGCUCGUUCCAUUCAGCUGCAGCAUAGGAGUGAGGGCAGGGCAUUAGCAGAAGAUAACACCAGAAACGUGCUCUGGGGCCUGUUGAUGACUUUCUGUGCCAAGCGUAGACAUUUAGCCUUUAUUCUGUAUGUGAUGGGAAGCCAGUGCCAGUGGUGGGUUUGAGCAGGGAACCAGCAACCAGUGGUGGGUUUGAGCAGGGAACCAGCAAUACUCAAGCUCUGCUUGGAUGGAGGCCAGUCAGGGAGGAGUUAGGGCAGGAGGACCAGUCAGGGAGGAGACUUAGGGCAGGAGGACCAGUCAGGGAGGAGACUUAGGGCAGGAGGACUGGUCAGGGAGGAGUUAGGGCUGGAGGACGGGUCAGGGAGGAGACUUAGGGUAGGAGGACUGGUCA
This is a long non-coding RNA of Homo sapiens (human), 1245 nucleotides long. RefSeq lists it as uncharacterized. The record is from RefSeq and is a predicted model, not a curated record. The transcript has 3 exons. Lineage: Eukaryota; Metazoa; Chordata; Mammalia; Primates; Hominidae.